GUACUCGCUUUGGCAGUACAUAUACUAAAAUUGGAACGAUACAGAGAACAUUAGCAUGGCCCCUGCGCAAGGAUGACACACGCCGGCACGGUAGCUCAGCGUGUUC
Schistocerca gregaria is the source of this 106-nucleotide small nuclear RNA. NCBI's taxonomy places the organism in Eukaryota, Metazoa, Arthropoda, Insecta, Orthoptera, Acrididae. The record is from RefSeq and is a predicted model, not a curated record.